UUCAAAUGUUAGCUCCGCCCAUUCACAGGCUGUAGUUGCGCUGCUUCAGCGUCAACGUCCCACCACACAGUUACUAGCUAGGUUGGUACACGUGCGUGUUCGGCUCUCUGGCAGUGGCACUUAACAGACACCAAGUUUGAAUGUUUCUUCUCUAUUAAUCCGGAGAAGGGGACAAAAGUGGAACAAACAAAAACAAAACGGCUCCAUGUGAAUCCAAGAGUCCUUACUUUGAUUCAGGACCUCUCAGACCAUGAAUGGCGAGCUAUUUAAAAAGUUGUUCCUUCAAGUGGCCGCGACAGUGAACACCCAUAUGUUUCUCUAGAUGUUCUUCUGGAAGCAAUGCAGUUGCAUGUUAAUCUAAGCUUCUGUAACUUGAUUCAUGACCUUUUCAACCAUGAAUGGCGAGCUGUUUGAAAAGUUGUUCCUUCAGUUGACCGUGAACACCCAUGUUUCUCUAGAUGUUCUUCUAGAAGCAAUGCAGUUGCAUCUUAAUCAAGCCUUUACCAUGAUUCACAAGCUCUCCAUGAAUGGCGAGCUAUUUAAAAAGGUGUUCCUUCAAAGUGAUGGAGCCGAUGAACACCUAUAUCACCUUUUUUCGUGGCUCGCUAUUAACAAGGUUCACAUUUAUUCACUCACUCACUACCACACCUCACUCAUAAUUCCUCUCUCUCACAAACACAAGUGCAACCACACACACACACACACACACUUUAAUGAUCUCUUUCUCAUUAUUUUUUUCAACAAUAAAUUUGCAUUAUUGUGAAUUGUAUAAUGUCUGACGAGUGGUUUGUUACAGCCUGACUUUUCAUUUAGAAGUAAUUUGAAGCAAUGUAGA
Fundulus heteroclitus (mummichog) is the source of this 835-nucleotide long non-coding RNA. RefSeq lists it as uncharacterized. The transcript has 5 exons. Lineage: Eukaryota; Metazoa; Chordata; Actinopteri; Cyprinodontiformes; Fundulidae. The record is from RefSeq and is a predicted model, not a curated record.